RNAcentral lists this ribosomal RNA (1050 nucleotides) under Lactiplantibacillus plantarum. RNAcentral describes it as "bacterial SSU rRNA". It matches the Rfam family "Bacterial small subunit ribosomal RNA", at positions 73 to 1097 of the family's 1533-position model. Lineage: Bacteria; Bacillati; Bacillota; Bacilli; Lactobacillales; Lactobacillaceae. The record is from RNAcentral.
UUGGUGCUUGCAUCAUGAUUUACAUUUGAGUGAGUGGCGAACUGGUGAGUAACACGUGGGAAACCUGCCCAGAAGCGGGGGAUAACACCUGGAAACAGAUGCUAAUACCGCAUAACAACUUGGACCGCAUGGUCCGAGCUUGAAAGAUGGCUUCGGCUAUCACUUUUGGAUGGUCCCGCGGCGUAUUAGCUAGAUGGUGGGGUAACGGCUCACCAUGGCAAUGAUACGUAGCCGACCUGAGAGGGUAAUCGGCCACAUUGGGACUGAGACACGGCCCAAACUCCUACGGGAGGCAGCAGUAGGGAAUCUUCCACAAUGGACGAAAGUCUGAUGGAGCAACGCCGCGUGAGUGAAGAAGGGUUUCGGCUCGUAAAACUCUGUUGUUAAAGAAGAACAUAUCUGAGAGUAACUGUUCAGGUAUUGACGGUAUUUAACCAGAAAGCCACGGCUAACUACGUGCCAGCAGCCGCGGUAAUACGUAGGUGGCAAGCGUUGUCCGGAUUUAUUGGGCGUAAAGCGAGCGCAGGCGGUUUUUUAAGUCUGAUGUGAAAGCCUUCGGCUCAACCGAAGAAGUGCAUCGGAAACUGGGAGACUUGAGUGCAGAAGAGGACAGUGGAACUCCAUGUGUAGCGGUGAAAUGCGUAGAUAUAUGGAAGAACACCAGUGGCGAAGGCGGCUGUCUGGUCUGUAACUGACGCUGAGGCUCGAAAGUAUGGGUAGCAAACAGGAUUAGAUACCCUGGUAGUCCAUACCGUAAACGAUGAAUGCUAAGUGUUGGAGGGUUUCCGCCCUUCAGUGCUGCAGCUAACGCAUUAAGCAUUCCGCCUGGGGAGUACGGCCGCAAGGCUGAAACUCAAAGGAAUUGACGGGGGCCCGCACAAGCGGUGGAGCAUGUGGUUUAAUUCGAAGCUACGCGAAGAACCUUACCAGGUCUUGACAUACUAUGCAAAUCUAAGAGAUUAGACGUUCCCUUCGGGGACAUGGAUACAGGUGGUGCAUGGUUGUCGUCAGCUCGUGUCGUGAAAUGUUGGGUUAAGUCCCGCAACGAGC